CCUACGGGAGGCAGCAGUGAGGAAUAUUGGUCAAUGGACGAGAGUCUGAACCAGCCAAGUAGCGUGAAGGAUGACUGCCCUAUGGGUUGUAAACUUCUUUUAUAUGGGAAUAAAACGUUCCACGUGUGGGCUUUUGUAUGUACCAUAUGAAUAAGGAUCGGCUAACUCCGUGCCAGCAGCCGCGGUAAGACGGAGGAUCCGAGCGUUAUCCGGAUUUAUUGGGUUUAAAGGGAGCGUAGGUGGAUUGUUAAGUCAGUUGUGAAAGUUUGCGGCUCAACCGUAAAAUUGCAGUUGAAACUGGCAGUCUUGAGUACAGUAGAGGUGGGCGGAAUUCGUGGUGUAGCGGUGAAAUGCUGAGAUAUCACGAAGAACUGCGAUUGCGAAGGCAGCUCACUGGACUGCAACUGACACUGAGGCUCGAGAGUGUGGGUAUCAAACAGGAUUAGAGACCCCUGUAGUC
This 460-nucleotide ribosomal RNA is filed under the name uncultured bacterium. RNAcentral describes it as "partial 16S ribosomal RNA". It matches the Rfam family "Bacterial small subunit ribosomal RNA", at positions 338 to 795 of the family's 1533-position model. The record is from RNAcentral.